GUCUCCCUGCUGUGUUCGCGAUUGACAAGGCAAAGCUUGAGCCAACACCAGUUCAAAUGGGAACCUAACUUUGCGCGAAGAUUGUAUGCCCUGGGUAGUGUAGGGAAACGUGAAUCGCUCAAGAGGGUACCCACCUGUAAAUAACAGGUUCAAAGCUUUACUUAAGUCACACGGCACAGCGGGGUUUAU
This 189-nucleotide non-coding RNA is filed under the name Candidatus Omnitrophota bacterium. RNAcentral's name for it is "6S RNA". It matches the Rfam family "6S / SsrS RNA". Rfam says of the family: E. coli 6S RNA was the first non coding RNA to be sequenced, but its function was unknown until recently. It consists of 184 nucleotides that fold into an extended hairpin structure with a large single-stranded internal bulge. The record is from RNAcentral. Lineage: Bacteria; Pseudomonadati; Candidatus Omnitrophota.